This 583-nucleotide long non-coding RNA is filed under the name Manihot esculenta (cassava). RNAcentral describes it as "long non-coding RNA (MESC_LNC011854)". Lineage: Eukaryota; Viridiplantae; Streptophyta; Magnoliopsida; Malpighiales; Euphorbiaceae. The record is from RNAcentral.
UUAAAUCAUCUGGUCUUUUAUCAUAAUUUCUUCCCAUAGUGUUUACAGGGAUAUUGUCUUCUUGGUCAGAGUCUGAUGCUUCCAAGGGAUUGUCUAUAGUAUCAUCUUCUGAUGAAGAGGUUUCAUUAUAUUCAGUUAAAAUUGUUAUUUUAUUUUUAUCUUUGCUAGUACUCUCACUUGAUAUUUUACUUUGUGUAGGUUCUUUUAUUUUAAUGCCUCCUAUAGGUUUUGGGGAAGUACCUUGUUCUUUUAUAAUGUUUUGUAAGAAUUUUGACAUAUCUUGUAAUUCUGUUUUUGGACUUAUUGUUACUAUUUCUAUGGGGUUUUGUGAUGGAGGUAUCAUUUUUGUGAAAGGUUGCUUAAUGGGUUUUAUAGCUGGAUCUAUUAGAUCAUAUGGUUUUGGAUCACUAUAUCGUUGGGAUAGAUAUAUAGUGUUUGGUUUUGGUAUCAAAGGAGAUGGUGCCUGGGGUGUUUCUAUGUGUUCUAUAUUUGUAAUGUCUUCGUGAUUUCUAUCUAUCUUUUCUUCUAUCCUAUCUAAUUGUUGGCCUAUGAUAUGUAAUGAUACAUUGGUCCAAUUGUUUUG